AUGGCUGUCGUCAGCUCGUGUCGUGAGAUGUUGGGUUAAGUCCCGCAACGAGCGCAACCCUUGUCCUGUGUUGCCAUACCGCAAGGUGGAACUCGCAGGAGACCGCCAGGGAUAACCUGGAGGAAGGUGGGGAUGACGUCAAGUCCUCAUGGCCUUUAUGUCUAGGGCUACACACGUGCUACAAUGGACGGUACAAAGCGUCGCCAACCCGCGAGGGGGAGCUAAUCGCAAAAAACCGUUCUCAGUUCGGAUUGCAGGCUGCAACUCGCCUGCAUGAAGCUGGAAUCGCUAGUAAUGCUAUAUCAGAACGAUAGCGUGAAUACGUUCCCGGGCCUUGUACACACCGCCCGUCACACCACGAAAGUCGGCAAUACCCGAAGCCGGUGGCCUAACCCGCAAGGGAGGGAGCCGUCGAAGGUAGGGUCGAUGAUUGGGGUGAAGUCGUAACAAGGUAGCCGUAGCGGAAGCUGCGGCUGGAUCACCUCCUUUCUAGGGAUACCGGAGCAAUUACAUCCGGUAGGCGCUCGGCCAGUCUUGAUGGUCCUGUCGGUUUAUCGACGGAGCCGUCCUGUACCCGAGUUCGCCUAGAAGAACGUCGACCUCGACGAACGCUGUUGAGUUUUGAGAGACCGGGCUCUUGUAUUUAAGAGCGUAUGGCCGGUUCUCCGAUGGGCGGACCAGUCCGCGUGCACCUUGAAAACUCCAUAGCAGUAACUAGCGAGUUCUUCACGAUCAAGAGACUAAGAGCACACGGUGGAUGCCUUGGCGCCUGAUGCCGAUGAAGGACGUGGGUGGCUGCGAUAAGCCACGGGGAGCUGCCGACCGAGCUUCGAUCCGUGAAUGUCCGAAUGGGGAAACCCGG
RNAcentral lists this small RNA (862 nucleotides) under uncultured Candidatus Solibacter sp. RNAcentral describes it as "bacterial SSU rRNA". The stretch from base 1 to 489 matches the Rfam family "Bacterial small subunit ribosomal RNA", at positions 1045 to 1533 of the family's 1533-position model. Lineage: Bacteria; Pseudomonadati; Acidobacteriota; Terriglobia; Bryobacterales; Solibacteraceae. The record is from RNAcentral.